GCUCCCGGAUUCAGCGGCGGACGGGUGAGUAAUGCCUAGGAAUCUGCCUGGUAGUGGGGGACAACGUUUCGAAAGGAACGCUAAUACCGCAUACGUCCUACGGGAGAAAGCAGGGGACCUUCGGGCCUUGCGCUAUCAGAUGAGCCUAGGUCGGAUUAGCUGGUUGGUGAGGUAACGGCUCACCAAGGCGACGAUCCGUAACUGGUCUGAGAGGAUGAUCAGUCACACUGGAACUGAGACACGGUCCAGACUCCUACGGGAGGCAGCAGUGGGGAAUAUUGGACAAUGGGCGAAAGCCUGAUCCAGCCAUGCCGCGUGUGUGAAGAAGGUCUUCGGAUUGUAAAGCACUUUAAGCCGGGAGGAAGGGCUGUAGGCUAAUAUCCUGCAGUUUUGACGUUACCGGCAGAAUAAGCACCGGCUAACUCUGUGCCAGCAGCCGCGGUAAUACAGAGGGUGCAAGCGUUAAUCGGAAUUACUGGGCGUAAAGCGCGCGUAGGUGGUUGAUCAAGUUGGAUGUGAAAGCCCCGGGCUCAACCUGGGAACUGCAUCCAAAACUGGUCGGCUAGAGUACGGUAGAGGGUGGUGGAAUUUCCUGUGUAGCGGUGAAAUGCGUAGAUAUAGGAAGGAACACCAGUGGCGAAGGCGACCACCUGGACUGAUACUGACACUGAGGUGCGAAAGC
This 682-nucleotide ribosomal RNA is filed under the name Pseudomonas putida. RNAcentral describes it as "bacterial SSU rRNA". It matches the Rfam family "Bacterial small subunit ribosomal RNA", at positions 82 to 760 of the family's 1533-position model. RNAcentral also lists the same sequence under 2 other names. The record is from RNAcentral. Lineage: Bacteria; Pseudomonadati; Pseudomonadota; Gammaproteobacteria; Pseudomonadales; Pseudomonadaceae.